UAGGGAAUCUUCCGCAAUGGGCGAAAGCUUGACGGAGCAACGCCGCGUGAGUGAUGAAGGUCUUCGGAUCGUAAAACUCUGUUAUUAGGGAGGAACAAAUGUGUAAGUAACUAUGCACGUCUUGACGGUACCUAAUCAGAAAGCCACGGCUAACUACGUGCCAGCAGCCGCGGUAAUACGUAGGUGGCAAGCGUUAUCCGGAAUUAUUGGGCGUAAAGCGCGCGUAGGCGGUUUUUUAAGUCUGAUGUGAAAGCCCACGGCUCAACCGUGGAGGGUCAUUGGAAACUGGAAAACUUGAGUGCAGAAGAGGAAAGUGGAAUUCCAUGUGUAGCGGUGAAAUGCGCAGAGAUAUGGAGGAACACCAGUGGCGAAGGCGACUUUCUGGUCUGUAACUGACGCUGAUGUGCGAAAGCGUGGGGAUCAAACAGG
Molecule: ribosomal RNA, 429 nt
Filed under: Actinomycetes bacterium
Lineage: Bacteria; Bacillati; Actinomycetota; Actinomycetes
Description: Actinobacteria bacterium partial 16S ribosomal RNA
Rfam family: Bacterial small subunit ribosomal RNA
Source: RNAcentral